CCGGUUUGUGAAAAUUCGUAAGCGUCCAACUCUGAACACCGUACACAGUUCACCCACAGGGACGCUUUUAAACAGGUGCUGGGGCUCGGGGGUAGGGCGUCCUGAGCAUGCGCCAGGCGCUGGGUCCAAUCCCCAGCACACCAAAAAAAAAAAUUGGGUGCUGCUCAAAGUUGCACUGUUCACGUCACUCCCACCCCAGCUCCCCUGCCCGAAGGCCUAAAACCCGCGCUUCCCGGCGCAACACGGUGGCCCGCGUCCUCUCCGCGUCGGCCGCCGCCACGCCCGCACUCCAGGAAAGGGAAGGCGCCCCGACGGCUACGUUCGGACUCUCGCCACCCGUCCAGCUCCUGCUUCUCCUGGGUGCCCUCGAUGUGCUGGAUUGCCUGUGCAGAAACAGGCCACUGAAGAAGCUCUGCUGGAGAUGCCAGCCAGCCAGGAGACAAGGGCGACCUCAGCCGGCCGUGACCUCCCCCAAAACACAUACCCCAGAACUGUGCGGAAAUAAACCUGGCAGAGGGGAGUGCUGCCAGAGUCCAGGAGGAACAAAGUUUAGAAACCCCCACCUCCGUUAAGUUGAAGAACCCCUUCCCAGAACCCAUAGUCCCAGUGCUGCCCAGAAAUGAGCAUCUCUCACAUAUUUAUGCAUUCUAAAGUCUGCCUGCUAGCUCAUUAAAGGCCUUUGUUACUAUUGCA
Long non-coding RNA from Marmota monax (woodchuck), 693 nucleotides. RefSeq lists it as uncharacterized. The transcript has 2 exons. The record is from RefSeq and is a predicted model, not a curated record. Lineage: Eukaryota; Metazoa; Chordata; Mammalia; Rodentia; Sciuridae.